GAUGAAGAACGCAGCGAAAUGCGAUAAGUAAUGUGAAUUGCAGAAUUCAGUGAAUCAUCGAAUCUUUGAACGCACAUUGCGCCCGCUAGUAUUCUGGCGGGCAUGCCUGUCCGAGCGUCAUUUCAACCCUCAAGCCCCCGGGCUUGGUGUUGGGGAUCGGCGAGCCUCCGCGCCCGCCGUCCCCUAAAUCUAGUGGCGGUCUCGCUGUAGCUUCCUCUGCGUAGUAGCACACCUCGCACUGGGAAACAGCGCGGCCACGCCGUUAAACCCCCAACUUCUGAACGUGUGACCUCGGAUCAGGUAGGAAUACCCGCUGAUCUUAAGCAUAUCAAUAAGCGGAGG
RNAcentral lists this unclassified non-coding RNA (342 nucleotides) under soil metagenome. RNAcentral describes it as "partial contains 5.8S ribosomal RNA, internal transcribed spacer 2, and large subunit ribosomal RNA". The stretch from base 1 to 120 matches the Rfam family "5.8S ribosomal RNA", at positions 35 to 154 of the family's 154-position model. The record is from RNAcentral.